RNAcentral lists this ribosomal RNA (835 nucleotides) under uncultured bacterium. RNAcentral's name for it is "bacterial SSU rRNA". It matches the Rfam family "Bacterial small subunit ribosomal RNA", at positions 62 to 881 of the family's 1533-position model. The record is from RNAcentral.
UCGAGGGGCAUCGGGGCGAGGAGCAAUCCUUGCCGCCGGCGACCGGCGCACUGGUGAGUAACGCGUAUGCGACCUGCCCGUUGCAGGGGGAUAAUCGGGAGAAAUCCCGUCUAAUACCGCGUAACGCCGCGGGGCUGCAUGGCCCUGCGGCCAAAGGAAGCGAUUCCGGCAACGGAUGGGCAUGCGUGACAUUAGCUAGUUGGCGGGGCAACGGCCCACCAAGGCGACGAUGUCUAGGGGUUCUGAGAGGAAGGUCCCCCACACUGGUACUGAGACACGGACCAGACUCCUACGGGAGGCAGCAGUGAGGAAUAUUGGUCAAUGGGCGCGAGCCUGAACCAGCCAAGUCGCGUGAGGGAUGACGGCCCUACGGGUUGUAAACCUCUUUUGUCGGGGAGCAAAUUCCGCCACGUGUGGCGGAGUCGAGAGUACCCGAAGAAAAAGCAUCGGCUAACUCCGUGCCAGCAGCCGCGGUAAUACGGAGGAUGCGAGCGUUAUCCGGAUUUAUUGGGUUUAAAGGGUGCGUAGGCGGACUGUCAAGUCAGCGGUAAAAUACGGGGGCUCAACCUCCGCCCGCCGUUGAAACUGACGGUCUUGAGUGGGCGAGAAGUAUGCGGAAUGCGUGGUGUAGCGGUGAAAUGCAUAGAUAUCACGCAGAACUCCGAUUGCGAAGGCAGCAUACCGGCGCCCAACUGACGCUGAAGCACGAAAGCGUGGGUAUCGAACAGGAUUAGAUACCCUGGUAGUCCACGCAGUAAACGAUGAAUACUAGCUGUCCGGGGCGAAUGAGCCCUGGGUGGCACAGCGAAAGCGUUAAGUAUUCCACCUGGGGGAG